UAAUAAGUGUUUUAUGGCACUUUUUAAAUCCAUAUCCACCUUGUGUGCAAUGUCAGUCGAUCUUCUUUAUUGGAGAUCCGACCAAACAUCAACCUUUAUUUUUAACUCUUUGUCUGAAAAAUAUUAUGAAUAAACAAUUCAAAAUA
RNAcentral lists this unclassified non-coding RNA (146 nucleotides) under soil metagenome. RNAcentral's name for it is "partial internal transcribed spacer 1". The record is from RNAcentral.